Long non-coding RNA from Liolophura sinensis, 304 nucleotides. RefSeq lists it as uncharacterized. The record is from RefSeq and is a predicted model, not a curated record. NCBI's taxonomy places the organism in Eukaryota, Metazoa, Mollusca, Polyplacophora, Chitonida, Chitonidae. The transcript is spliced from 3 exons.
AUCCUUUGAGGACGAUUUCACAGAAGUGGAGCCCGGGCCGUUGACGGUCAGGUGGGAAGAUACAGAACAGCAAUCGGGAAGCCCCAGUCGGAUCGCCCUAGGGAGAUGGGGGGAGGAUGGAGUCUGCGUUCUUCUCGAUUUUAUCCCCCACCGUGAUGUGCCGCUGACAAACCCUAGGUGUCAGCGUGACGAAUACCCAUUGGGGUCUUGCCAAUCAACUGGCACUCUGGUGACCGUUCAGAUCCCUAAUAUUAGGUGCGACCGCUGCUUUCUCCAGCUGAUGUCCGUGAGAGUUCCAAGAGGC